Molecule: ribosomal RNA, 230 nt
Filed under: uncultured bacterium
Lineage: Bacteria
Description: partial 16S ribosomal RNA
Rfam family: Bacterial small subunit ribosomal RNA
Source: RNAcentral
UGGGCAACCUGCCCCUAGCUCUGGGAUAACUCCGGGAAACCGGGGCUAAUACCGGAUAUGACCACGGUGGACAUCCACUGUGGUGGAAAGCUCCGACGGCUAGGGAUGGGCCCGCGGCCUAUCAGCUUGUUGGUGGGGUAACGGCCCACCAAGGCGACGACGGGUAGCCGGCCUGAGAGGGCGACCGGCCACACUGGACUGAGACACGGCCCAGACUCCUACGGGAAGCA